CUUUGGGAAAGGCUUCCCAAUCUUUGGAGGCUCGUAGAUUGGAGGCUUAGGGAAUGGCUUGUCAAUCUUGGGAGGCUUUGGAAAAGGCUUGUCAACCUUCGGAGGCUCGUAAACUGGAGGCUUUGGAAAUGGCUUGUCGAUCUUGGGAGGCUCAUAAACUGGAGGCUUUGGAUAUGGCUUGUCAAUCUUGGGAGGCUUUGGGAAUGGCUUCUCAAUCUUGGGAGGUUUUGGGAAUGGCUUCUCAAUCUUUGGAGGCUUGGGAAAUGGCUUGCCAACCUUCGGAGGCUCGUAAACUGGAGGCUUUGGGAAUGGCUUGUCAAUCUUGGGAGGCUUUGGGAAUGGCUUAUCAAUCUUGGGAGGCUUUGGGAAAGGCUUGUCAAUCUUGGGAUGUUCGUAAAAUGGUGGCUUAGAGUAAUCAGCAAGAGAUGGAGUGGCGAGAAGUACCACCACCCCAAGGAGCAACACUGGCAAGUAUGUUAGAGACAUCUUCUU
This 492-nucleotide long non-coding RNA is filed under the name Citrus maxima (pomelo). RNAcentral describes it as "long non-coding RNA (CMAX_LNC003654)". The record is from RNAcentral. Lineage: Eukaryota; Viridiplantae; Streptophyta; Magnoliopsida; Sapindales; Rutaceae.